Molecule: long non-coding RNA, 813 nt
Organism: Ochotona princeps (American pika)
Lineage: Eukaryota; Metazoa; Chordata; Mammalia; Lagomorpha; Ochotonidae
Exons: 3
Source: RefSeq, a predicted model, not a curated record
AGUUGCCCGAAGCCCCUGGGUCUGGCGUCCGCCUCCCAGGGCAGCCGUACCGGAGCCGACUGAGUAGGUUUCUCCGAGUGUGACGCUUCCUCCCCCAGAGCCUGGCCCGAGGCGUUGGCCCAGUAGUGGCUUCUAAGGCCAAAUCGGGAAGAAGAGCAAGGACCAUUUGGACAAAAACUAGCACCUGAACUUCAUUUGCAGAGAGACACCCAGGAGAGGAACAUUCAGAAAACAUGAGGAAGAGACUUUCAAGAUCACAAAUACGUCACCUUAUAGCUUUAUGCUGGAUCCUACAGUGCCAGAGGUGCAGGCAAACAUGCAUCGACAUGGCCAUUCCAGCUCCAGUCUGACAGUCACCACCUGCUCAACUGCACUCCUCACUUCCAGAAGACAAAGACUUUUCCUUCAAAUUACUCUCCUAAACCCACAGUGUUCCCGUAAGGUGUUCCCUGAGAAAGAGGAAACACUUCAGAAGAACAGAUAAAAUCAAGCACAUAGGCAUCCCGCACAUGUCUAUUUGAAAGUUGCAGACUUAAAAAAAAAAAAAAAUCUUGGGUCCAAAGGUAACCUAUUUGAAACUGACCACUGAGAGUUGGCCUCCUGUCUAAAGGUUUAGCUAUAAGUAAACAACCUUAAAAAAAAUAUUUAAAGACCUUGUUUUUGAUCAGACCGUUCAAAGAAGGACUCUGUAGGUGAAAGUUCAUGAGGCUGAAACAAUGGAAACUUCUCAGAGUAGAAGGAGGACUCCCCUACCAGUCGGAGCUGGCGCCCCAGCGCACCUUGGCUGGUUGCCUUCAUGGGAGGGUGUGCAGG